Molecule: ribosomal RNA, 465 nt
Filed under: uncultured bacterium
Lineage: Bacteria
Description: SSU rRNA
Rfam family: Bacterial small subunit ribosomal RNA
Source: RNAcentral
AGAAUCAACGCUGGCGGCGUGCCUAACACAUGCAAGUCGAACGAGAAAGUGGAGCAAUCCAUGAGUAAAGUGGCGACCGGGUGAGUAACACGUGACUAACCUACCUUCGAGUGGGGGAUAACCUCGGGAAACCGAGGCUAAUACCGCAUAACAUCGCAAGAUCAAAGCAGCAAUGCGCUGGAAGAGGGGGUCGCGGCUGAUUAGCUAGUUGGCGGGGUAAUGGCCCACCAGGGCGAAGAUCGGUAGCCGGCCUGAGAGGGCGCACGGCCACACUGGAACUGAAACACGGUCCAGACUCCUACGGGAGGCAGCAGUGGGGAAUUUUGCGCAAUGGGGGAAACCCUGACGCAGCAACGCCGCGUGGAGGAUGAAGCCCCUUGGGGUCGUAAACUCCUUUCGACCAAGACGAUAAUGACGGUACUGGUGGUAAGAAGCACGGCUAAACUCUAGUGCCAGACAGUCCGC